AUUGAACGCUGGCGGCAGGCCUAACACAUGCAAGUCGAGCGGUAGAGAGGUGCUUGCAUCUCUUGAGAGCGGCGGACGGGUGAGUAAUGCCUAGGAAUCUGCCUGGUGGUGGGGGAUAACGUUCGGAAACGGACGCUAAUACCGCAUACGUCCUACGGGAGAAAGCGGGGGAUCUUCGGACCUCGCGCCAUUAGAUGAGCCUAGGUCGGAUUAGCUAGUUGGUGAGGUAAUGGCUCACCAAGGCGACGAUCCGUAACUGGUCUGAGAGGAUGAUCAGUCACACUGGAACUGAGACACGGUCCAGACUCCUACGGGAGGCAGCAGUGGGGAAUAUUGGACAAUGGGCGCAAGCCUGAUCCAGCCAUGCCGCGUGCAGGAUGACGGUCCUAUGGAUUGUAAACUGCUUUUGUACAGGAAGAAACCCUUUCACGUGUGGAAGAUUGACGGUACUGUAAGAAUAAGGAUCGGCUAACUCCGUG
This 479-nucleotide ribosomal RNA is filed under the name uncultured bacterium. Its description in RNAcentral is "bacterial SSU rRNA". It matches the Rfam family "Bacterial small subunit ribosomal RNA", at positions 30 to 507 of the family's 1533-position model. The record is from RNAcentral.